Molecule: long non-coding RNA, 370 nt
Organism: Hypomesus transpacificus
Lineage: Eukaryota; Metazoa; Chordata; Actinopteri; Osmeriformes; Osmeridae
Exons: 3
Source: RefSeq, a predicted model, not a curated record
UGGCCAUCUAUGCCUGUUUACUGUCCCUUAGCCAAACAGGUCACCUGAGGCAUGAAUAAUACUAGUUCACGGAUUCAUGUUUUAUCAAUGUGGCUUUCGAAUAGUUACCAGGGUUAGACAGAAAAGCUGUUUGCCUCCUUCAAUCAAAAUUGCCUUCUGAUGGCACAGCAGAAUUUAGGACUGCUCAAUAAAAUCCCAUCAAAACCCAGACCGUACCAGGCCCUCUGUAUGCCCCCGCCAGGCUUGACACCUGUACUCUGACUAACAACUGCUUGAUCUAUGGAGUUUCAGGUACAUGAAGAAUAAAGGGGAAGUAACAUUACUACAACCAUUUCAAGAUGUAAAGACGUCCAUCUGAGAGCUUCACUCU